ACGGGAGGCAGCAGUGGGGAAUAUUGCACAAUGGGCGCAAGCCUGAUGCAGCGACGCCGCGUGAGGGACGACGGCCUUCGGGUUGUAAACCUCUUUCAGCACAGACGAAGCGCAAGUGACGGUAUGUGCAGAAGAAGGACCGGCCAACUACGUGCCAGCAGCCGCGGUAAUACGUAGGGUCCGAGCGUUGUCCGGAAUUACUGGGCGUAAAGAGCUCGUAGGUGGUUUGUCGCGUUGUUCGUGAAAACUCACAGCUCAACUGUGGGCGUGCGGGCGAUACGGGCAGACUAGAGUACUGCAGGGGAGACUGGAAUUCCUGGUGUAGCGGUGGAAUGCGCAGAUAUCAGGAGGAACACCGGUGGCGAAGGCGGGUCUCUGGGCAGUAACUGACGCUGAGGAGCGAAAGCGUGGGGAGCGAACAGGAUUAGAUACCCUGGUA
RNAcentral lists this ribosomal RNA (439 nucleotides) under uncultured Mycobacterium sp. RNAcentral describes it as "partial 16S ribosomal RNA". It matches the Rfam family "Bacterial small subunit ribosomal RNA", at positions 341 to 792 of the family's 1533-position model. Lineage: Bacteria; Bacillati; Actinomycetota; Actinomycetes; Mycobacteriales; Mycobacteriaceae. The record is from RNAcentral.